RNAcentral lists this ribosomal RNA (1434 nucleotides) under Triticum aestivum (bread wheat). Its description in RNAcentral is "partial small subunit ribosomal RNA". The record is from RNAcentral. Lineage: Eukaryota; Viridiplantae; Streptophyta; Magnoliopsida; Poales; Poaceae.
AUGGCGGGGAUGGCGCAGAGCGCGGUGGACUCUCUGCUGGGGAGGCUGAGCGCGCUGCUGGUGGACGAGGCGCAGCUGCUGCGCGGCGUCCGCGGCGACGUGCGGUUCAUCAGGGACGAGAUGGAGAGCAUGAACAGCCUUCUCGCCCACCUCACCGAGGCGGAGCACCACGCCCACCACGUCCGCACGUGGAUGAAGCAGGUGGUGGGCCUCGCCCGCGACAGCGAGGCCUACGUGGAGCUCUUCGCCCGCCAGGUCAGCGGCGGCCCCCGCGCCGGCGAGGGCCUCCUGGGCUCCCUGCGGAGGAUGCUCCAGUUCCUGAGGACCAUCCCUGUCCGGCACCGCGUGGCGACCCGGAUCCGGGAGCUCAAGGACGACGUGGAGAAGCUGCAGACAACCACACCGAAUACAGAUGUCACUGAACUUCCAAAGCAAAUAGAGAUGCUAACAUGCUUGGAGACAUUGGACAUCCGGCAAACGGCAGUAAGGGCGUUCGCCACAAAGUCUAUUAUGCUUCCAAUGCUAAAGCAUAUGCUUGCUGGGGAGAGUCAGACAUGCCCUCCUCCUUCGAACCACAAUCCUGAGAGGUUUCAAGAGUCAUUUGUGGGGGUGCGCCUUCCCAAUGGCGUCCAAAGAAUGGGAAAACUGGAGAUGUUGUCUCAUGUUGAUGUUUCCCACAGUGUUGAUGAUAUGAUCAGCAUCGGACAACUGCUGCGACUAAGGAAACUAGGUGUGAUCCUCACUAGGAAGAAGAGAGAUGGCUUGUUGGAUCUUUUGUUCCAACAGAUUGAGAAGUUGCAUGGUUGCCUCCGUUCCUUGUCAAUCCAGGUCAACCAUCCGGUUACAAGUGACGGUGUUAUUAUUCAUGAUGAUGCAGACGAGGUGCAUGCAUUGGGCUCGCCUCCGAAACUCCUUCGGAGCCUAAACAUCAGAGGCAUAAGAAAUGGGCUCCUUGGCUGGAUCGCAGAGCUCGAUAAGCUCGUCAAGUUAACACUGAGCGAAACUUACCUUGGGGAAGAUGCUCUAGGCAUCAUUGGCAAUCUUGGAGUUCUAGCUUGUCUCAGGCUUCUGCACAAGUCGUACAACGGAAGCAAGCUCCACAUCAAGAAAGGAGAGUUCAUCAGUCUCAAGUCUUUGAUCGUCCGAGGCAACGACAUCACCAGCAUUCACUUUGAAGGAGGUGCAUCACCUAAGCUCGAGAUGUUUGUGUGGUCUUUUGCCAGAAUGGAGGCCAUGGACGGACUCGAUGAGCUUUACCAUUUGAAGAAGGUUGAGCUCUAUGGUGACUGCAACCCACAGCCCCUGCGAGACCAGAUGUGGAGGAGGUUGUAUUUCCAGUCCCUGCGAGACCAGAUGUGGAGGAGGUUGGAUUUCAAGCACAACGGACAGCAAGUGUUAGUGCAAAGACACUUUGAAGACGUGGUUGCUGUUUGA